RNAcentral lists this ribosomal RNA (268 nucleotides) under uncultured bacterium. Its description in RNAcentral is "partial 16S ribosomal RNA". It matches the Rfam family "Bacterial small subunit ribosomal RNA", at positions 1234 to 1500 of the family's 1533-position model. The record is from RNAcentral.
CGUAAACAAAGGGAAGCGAAGCGGUGACGCCUGGCAAAUCCCAGAAAUAACGUCCCAGUUCGGAUUGUAGUCUGCAACCCGACUACAUGAAGCUGGAAUCGCUAGUAAUCGCGAAUCAGAAUGUCGCGGUGAAUACGUUCCCGGGUCUUGUACACACCGCCCGUCACACCAUGGGAGUCGGAAAUGCCCGAAGUCAGUGACCCAACCGCAAGGGAGGGAGCUGCCGAAGGUGGAGCCGGUAACUGGGGUGAAGUCGUAACAAGGUAGC